Molecule: unclassified non-coding RNA, 347 nt
Filed under: soil metagenome
Description: partial contains 5.8S ribosomal RNA, internal transcribed spacer 2, and large subunit ribosomal RNA
Rfam family: 5.8S ribosomal RNA (bases 5-119)
Source: RNAcentral
GAUGAGAACGCAGCGAAAUGCGAUAAGUAAUGUGAAUUGCAGAAUUCAGUGAAUCAUCGAAUCUUUGAACGCACAUUGCGCCCGCCAGUAUUCUGGCGGGCAUGCCUGUCUGAGCGUCAUUUCAACCCUCAUGCCCCUAGGGCGUGGUGUUGGGGAUCGGCCAAAGCCCGCGAGGGACGGCCGGCCCCUAAAUCUAGUGGCGGACCCGUCGUGGCCUCCUCUGCGAAGUAGUGAUAUUCCGCAUCGGAGAGCGAUGAGCCCCUGCCGUUAAACCCCCAACUUUCCAAGGUUGACCUCGGAUCAGGUAGGAAUACCCGCUGAACUUAAGCAUAUCAAUAAGCGGAGGA